GACGAACGCUGGCGGCGUGCUUAACACAUGCAAGUCGAACGGAAAGGCCCUGCUUUUGUGGGGUGCUCGAGUGGCGAACGGGUGAGUAACACGUGAGUAACCUGCCCUUGACUUUGGGAUAACUUCAGGAAACUGGGGCUAAUACCGGAUAGGAGCUCCGGCUGCAUGGUGGGGGUUGGAAAGUUUGGGCGGUUGGGGGUGGACUCGCGGCUUAUCAGCUUGUUGGUGGGGUAGUGGCUUACCAAGGCUUUGACGGGUAGCCGGCCUGAGAGGGUGACCAGCCACAUUGGGACUGAGAUACGGCCCAGACUCCUACGGGAGGCAGCAGUGGGGAAUAUUGCACAAUGGGCGGAAGCCUGAUGCAGCAACGCCGCGUGCGGGAUGACGGCCUUCGGGUUGUAGACCGCUUUCGCCUGUGACGAAGCGUGAGUGACGGUAAUGGGUAAAGAAGCACCGGCUAACUACGUG
Molecule: ribosomal RNA, 468 nt
Filed under: uncultured bacterium
Lineage: Bacteria
Description: partial 16S ribosomal RNA
Rfam family: Bacterial small subunit ribosomal RNA
Source: RNAcentral